RNAcentral lists this ribosomal RNA (253 nucleotides) under uncultured bacterium. Its description in RNAcentral is "partial 16S ribosomal RNA". It matches the Rfam family "Bacterial small subunit ribosomal RNA", at positions 524 to 776 of the family's 1533-position model. The record is from RNAcentral.
GACGGAGGGUGCUAGCGUUGUUCGGAAUUACUGGGCGUAAAGGGCGCGUAGGCGGCCUGGUCAGUCGGAUGUGAAAACCCGGGGCUCAACCCCGGGCUUGCGGUCGAUACGGGCAGGCUCGAGUUCGGUAGGGGAGACUGGAAUUCCUGGUGUAGCGGUGAAAUGCGUAGAGAUCAGGAAGAACACCGGUGGCGAAAGCGCUCUGCUAGGCCGCAACUGACACUCAUGGACGAAAGCUAGGGGAGCGAAUGGG